GAUUUUAUUUUAUGCAAUUAAUAAUGCGAAUUCUUGUACUCAAAAGUUUUCAAGUAUUAUUUGUUUUGUUAUAUUUCAUUGUGUAAAAUUGUUUUUUUUUAUUUUUAGGUAUCAUGCCAACUUUUUUUAUAUUUCUAAUCGUUACUAUGACACAUAAAAUUGAUGCUAAAAGCAUAACAAUACAGAUUGAUAGUGAUGAUUUAUUAAACAUACUAAAAAAAAUACUCAAUAUCAAUAUUGGCGUCCAGGAUAGGAACGCUGUUAUAAGAAGUGACGUGACAAAAGAGCCUAGUUUAUACAUAAAUCCCUAUCAUCCAGAAGACGGGAUUAAUUUGAAUGAUAUUGAUGAAGCAAAUGUAAAAACUAACAAUAAAACGUAUAAAAAUAAAUUAAAUAGCGAGUUCACUGAUAAGACCAAUGAUAAAAUAGACGACAAAAUUGAUCGAGAUAACACGGCGUACCUGCAAAGUGACAACUAUAUAAGUGACGAUGAAAUAACUGAUAAUAUAUCAGAUAAUGAUUUUAACAAAAGAGGUACAUCAAAAAACAUAACUUUAAAAGGAAAUCCAAUGAAAUUUACUAAAAAUUUCAACAAAAGAUUUAUCAAAAAAUUGUGACAUGUUUUGAAAAACAUUAGGGCCCAACUUCUGUCACUGUGGUUCGAUUAAAUUGUACAAGUUAUCUUAUUUACACUAGUUCUUUUAGCGAUUUUCUUGUU
Danaus plexippus (monarch butterfly) is the source of this 718-nucleotide RNA transcript. RefSeq lists it as uncharacterized. The transcript has 3 exons. NCBI's taxonomy places the organism in Eukaryota, Metazoa, Arthropoda, Insecta, Lepidoptera, Nymphalidae. The record is from RefSeq and is a predicted model, not a curated record.